RNAcentral lists this long non-coding RNA (891 nucleotides) under Sinocyclocheilus anshuiensis. Its description in RNAcentral is "lncRNA (ENSSANG00000038286.1)". The record is from RNAcentral. Lineage: Eukaryota; Metazoa; Chordata; Actinopteri; Cypriniformes; Cyprinidae.
GCAUGCAGUUGUUUCAUCACUCUUUCACUGAGGAUCAGAGGAAAGGAAAGAUGGAUGAGGAAAACACACCAGAGGCCUUUGGAACAUUAGUAGAGGACUUCUUCAGUGUAAAAAUACCUACUGAAACGCAUUUCACUGAACACCUGCUGGCAGAGAGGUUAGGAUCCAAUCUAAGGUGCUGUGUAUGGAAAGAGAAAUAAACAGACUUGAUGAAGUUUACCAGCAGCUCUCCUCUGAACUCUACAGGGCAACACACAUACGCAGCUCACCGGAGAAGAAAGAGCCCAGGUUUGACAAACCGCUUCAGGAGCAGCAGGUGAUGCUGGAGCUGCAGAAUUGUACGGUGGAUCAGAGACUGAAGGCGAUGAGAGACAGAUUUUCUAAACUGAGCUCAAGCCAGCAAGCGAGUCCUAAUGAAAGCACACCUGCUCACGGCACAGUCCUGGCUCAGGAAGACAGCCAGACUCCCAGCAAAUGCAAACCAGACAGGGGAGGAGCAGAGAAACAGACACCUGCUGCAGGACAGUCCAGCAACAAGAAGAAGCAGAGCAAGCAUAUGGACAAAGAUGAGGAAAAGGGUGUGACUGCGUGAGGAAUAAUGUUUGAAAAUGGUGAUUAUUCUAAAAAUAAUCUGUUUCUUGUCUUUACACCGUUUUAUUCUUACAGAUCUUACAAAUUACAAUCAUUAUUUUAUCCAUUCAUAAUGACUGUGAAACUUGUGUGGCACAGUCACAGCCAGUCAGAAGAUAUUUAAUGUUUAAUGUACAGUUAUGAUGAGCAGGGCAAGACGAAAUAGAAACAGAAACCAAAAUGUCCUUUCAGUUGUCACUUGUAGAUCUCAUUGCUAUUUAUGACAAAACUCACAUGGAGGAGAUGGAUUUAACAUUUAAC